RNAcentral lists this long non-coding RNA (1049 nucleotides) under Gossypium barbadense (sea-island cotton). Its description in RNAcentral is "long non-coding RNA (GBAR_LNC013984)". The record is from RNAcentral. Lineage: Eukaryota; Viridiplantae; Streptophyta; Magnoliopsida; Malvales; Malvaceae.
UUUUCCCGCAAUUGCCUUCAAGUUUGUGAAUAAAUACUCUCCAUUCCUAGCUUGAAUACAAUAGUUUGGAAAAUUGAGCUACUAAAGCCUUUGGUAAGUUUUAUAUAUCAAUUUACUCUCCAACUUCUCUUCGAUGAAGUGUUUGUUAAUUUAAAUGUGCUUUGUUUGGUCAUGUUCUAUUGGGUUGUGAGCUAUACUGAUUGCAGGUUUGCUGUCCCAAUAAUUUCAUAGGACCAUCCCACUUAAUUUUCAAAUAUUUUAAGAAUGAUCUUCAACCAAAGUAGUUCGCACAUACCUUGAGCCAUUGCUCAAAAUUCAGCCUUUUUACUUGACUGAGCUACUACACUUUAUUUUUUACUUUUUCAUGUCACUAGACUCCCAUCAAAGAAGGUGCAAAAUCUUGCGAUUGAUCUUCUAUCAACAAUUGAUCUAGCAUAAUCAACAUCAAUGUAUUUGUUACAAAUUGAUUAAUUAUGCAGCAGCUCGAACACAUGAUGAAUCGCGAAGUGACAAGCUGUGAGAUGAACUGUGAAAUGACAGUGGCGAAGUGCGAGAUGUCUUUGGAAGUGGCGAGAUGUAGCUGAAGCCUUGGUGCAUGCAGGUUUCAUCAAGUUGCAUGGCAGACUAGUUUAGUUCAUUUGGAACUUAGUUUUGUUAUGUUUACAGCUUAGUUAGUUGAUGCAUUAAGAUAGCUUAGUGGGGUUAGUUGAGUAUUUGGUGAUGUAUUCGACUUUAAAUGUUUUGUUUUCUUGUUGAAUGAUAGAGCUAAUAGAUACAAGCUCCUUCGCUGCACGUUUUUGCUUCUUGUUCUCUGUUUUUCUUUGACAAUAUCACCAACAAUUGGAAUCAAAAGUCUCUCAUCUUUGAGGGUUACUGUUUUUGUUUGUAUUUUCUUGUCAAGAAAGAAAGAACCAACUUUGUUUCUUUGUUGUAGCUGCUAACAUGUCUUUAGGGAGUUUUUCACCACCACCACCUCUUGUCUUUGUUGGAGAGAACUAUCAUAUUUGGGUAGUCAAGAUGAAGACUUACCUCCUGGCCUUUGACUUGUG